AUUGAACGCUGGCGGCAGGCUUAACACAUGCAAGUCGAACGAGCGGCGGACGGGUGAGUAAUGCCUGGGAAUCUGCCUGGUGGUGGGGGAUAACUUCCGGAAACGGUAGCUAAUACCGCAUACUAUCGGAUGAGCCUAGAUCGGAUUAGCUAGUAGGUGGGGUAAAGGCUCACCUAGGCGACGAUCCCUAGCUGGUCUGAGAGGAUGACCAGGCAAACGGGGACUGGGACAAGGUCCAGACUCCUACGGGGGGCAAGAGUGGGGAAUAUGGCACAAUGGGCGCAAGCCUGGUGCAGCCAUGCCGGGGUGAUGAAAGAGGCCUCCGGGUUGGAAAGUCCUUUCAGCGGGGAGGCGGUACCCGCAGAAGAAGCACCGGCUUACUCCGGGCCAGCAGCCGCGGUAAUAC
RNAcentral lists this ribosomal RNA (406 nucleotides) under uncultured bacterium. RNAcentral's name for it is "partial 16S ribosomal RNA". It matches the Rfam family "Bacterial small subunit ribosomal RNA", at positions 29 to 526 of the family's 1533-position model. The record is from RNAcentral.